RNAcentral lists this ribosomal RNA (322 nucleotides) under uncultured eukaryote. RNAcentral describes it as "partial 18S ribosomal RNA". It matches the Rfam family "Eukaryotic small subunit ribosomal RNA", at positions 1470 to 1796 of the family's 1831-position model. The record is from RNAcentral.
CCCUUAGAUGUUCUGGGCCGCACGCGUGCUACACUGAGUGGAUCAGCGGGUCAGGUUGCGCGAAAGCGUUUCCUAAUCUUUAAAUCCGCUCGUGAUGGGGAUUGACGGUUGCAAUUUUCUGUCAUGAACGAGGAAUACCUUGUAAGCGCGGGUCAUCAUCCCGCGCUGAAUACGUCCCUGCCCUUUGUAUACACCGCCCGUCGCUCCUACCGAUUGAGUGGUCCGGUGAGGCUUUGGGAUCUGAGCGGAAAGAGCGUUUCGCUGUUUCUGCUCGGAAAACUCAGUCGAACCUUAUCAUUUAGAGGAAGGAGAGGUCGUAACA